GAAGGUUAUGUAGGUGAUUCUCAAAUGCAACUUCCCUACCAAGAUACAUUUUAAGAAGGAGGGUUCAGAUAUAAAGUAUUUUUUAUUCCUUAGUAGGAUGAACGAGGAGGGUUCGGGCACUUGAGCCUUGGAGAUGCCGCUACAGCCUAGACACCCCUUCUAUUUUUAUAUUUUUUAUUGACUGGAUUUGGGUUGCCCUGGUUGGUACUUGUAGCAAAUAAUUACUCUUUUCAUUUUUUCUCUCAUUUUUAGAACAUUUGUUGCCACUGCUCUCCCAUAAUAAUUGUUUUAGCUUAUAUUGCAUGUCAGAGAUGAUUUGUAACUUAAUUAGUGCGAAUACAAGGUUGCUUUUUGUAAUGAUUGAAAAAUCAAAAAAUAGGGAUAGAAAUUUCCUAGCAGCUUACUGCCUAGAAUUAAUUCG
This 421-nucleotide long non-coding RNA is filed under the name Capsicum annuum. RNAcentral's name for it is "long non-coding RNA (CANN_LNC006501)". The record is from RNAcentral. Lineage: Eukaryota; Viridiplantae; Streptophyta; Magnoliopsida; Solanales; Solanaceae.